GUCCACAGUACACGGAUGCCCCACUCACACUAUCAUUUUCUAUGUUUAAGGACUGUGAAAUUGGAAUAAAUUCUCUAAUUUGGCAUUAAAAUUAGAAUGAUCUUAUCAAAGGGAACAUGUAUACUAAGUUUCAAGUUGAUUGGACUUCUACUUUAUCAAAAACUACCUUGACCAAAAACUUUAACCUGAAAUUUGCACUAUCAUUUUCUAUGUUCAGUGAACCGUAAAUUGGGGUCAAAACUCUAAUUUGGCAUUUAAAUUAGAAAGAUCAUAUCAUAGGGCACAUGUAUACUAAGUUUCAAGUUGAUUGGACUUCAACUUCA
Molecule: long non-coding RNA, 323 nt
Filed under: Mytilus galloprovincialis (Mediterranean mussel)
Lineage: Eukaryota; Metazoa; Mollusca; Bivalvia; Mytilida; Mytilidae
Source: RNAcentral